This is a non-coding RNA of Alexandromys fortis (reed vole), 404 nucleotides long. The record is from the annotation of a RefSeq genome assembly. Lineage: Eukaryota; Metazoa; Chordata; Mammalia; Rodentia; Cricetidae.
AUGGACUUAGGGCUAAUACUGGUUUUCUCUGUCCUUAUUUUAAAAGGUGUCCAGUGUGAAGUACAGUUGCUGGAGUCUGGGGGAGGCUUAGUGCAGCCUGGAAAGUCUCUAAAACUCUCCUGUGCAGCUUCUGGAUUCACCUUCAGUAGUUAUGCAAUGAGCUGGGUCCACCAGGCUUCCAGGAAGGGUUUGGAGUGGGUGGCAACCAUUGUUAUGGUGGAAGUAGCACCUACUAUACCGACGCUGUGAAGGGCCAGUUCACAAUCUCCAGAGACAACGCCAAGAACACACUGUACCUGGAAAUGAGCAGUCUGAGGUCUGAGGACACAGCCAUGUAUUACUGUGCAAGAGACACAGUGAGUGAAUGCUACUGUGAGCUCAGACACAAACACCCCUGUGGGUAA